AACUAACCAAGGCCCAAAAAAUGACAACUCCUGGGAAAUGUUAGGAACAUCUACCAGCCAUAAAAUGAGCCAUUGGAGCUAAGACUCGCUCUAGUGUUUUGAGGCAGUAGAGACACAACGUAAGAUAGCCAAGAACCAAAAGGACCAAUAUGUGGUUCUUCAGUAGCUAGAGUUGCUUGACGUUGGUGAAAAGAUUGGUGUUGGUUUCGACAAAGAAAAGUGAAGAAAAAGGGGGUAAA
RNAcentral lists this unclassified non-coding RNA (239 nucleotides) under Hevea brasiliensis (rubber tree). The record is from RNAcentral. Lineage: Eukaryota; Viridiplantae; Streptophyta; Magnoliopsida; Malpighiales; Euphorbiaceae.